CACGUAGGGCGCGAGCGUUGUCCGGAAUUAUUGGGCGUAAAGAGCUCGUAGGCGGCCUGUUGCGUCCGCUGUGAAAGCCCGGGGCUUAACCCCGGGUCUGCAGUGGAUACGGGCAGGCUAGAGGUAGGUAGGGGAGAAUGGAAUUCCCGGUGUAGCGGUGAAAUGCGCAGAUAUCAGGAGGAACACCGAUGGCGAAGGCAGGUCUCUGGGCAUUAACUGACGCUGAGGAGCGAAAGCAUGGGGAGCGAACAGG
Molecule: ribosomal RNA, 253 nt
Filed under: uncultured bacterium
Lineage: Bacteria
Description: partial 16S ribosomal RNA
Rfam family: Bacterial small subunit ribosomal RNA
Source: RNAcentral